This 497-nucleotide ribosomal RNA is filed under the name uncultured bacterium. Its description in RNAcentral is "partial 16S ribosomal RNA". It matches the Rfam family "Bacterial small subunit ribosomal RNA", at positions 28 to 507 of the family's 1533-position model. The record is from RNAcentral.
GAUGAACGCUGGCGGCGUGCCUAAUACAUGCAAGUCGAGCGAACGGACGAGAAGCUUGCUUCUCUGAUGUUAGCGGCGGACGGGUGAGUAACACGUGGAUAACCUACCUAUAAGACUGGGAUAACUUCGGGAAACCGUAGCUAAUACCGGAUAAUAUUUUGAACCGCAUGGUUCAAAAGUGAAAGACGGUCUUGCUGUCACUUAUAGCUGGAUCCGCGCUGCAUUAGCUAGUUGGUAAGGUAACGGCCUACCAAGGCAACGAUGCAUAGCCGACGUGAGAGGGUGAUCGGCCACACUAGAACUGAGACACGGUCCAGACUACUACGAGAGGCAGCAGUAGGGAAUCUUACGCAAUGGGCGAGAGCAUGACGGAGCAACGCCGCGUGAGUGGUGAAGGUCUUCGGAUCGUAAAACUCUGUUAUUAGGGAAGAACAUAUGUGUAAGUAACUGUGCACAUCUUGACGGUACCUAAUCAGAAAGCCACGGCUAACUACGUG